ACCCUCGGUAGUUCUUUGUUCAGAACUAUACCGGUUUUCAGACCGGAGCUAUCAACCACUCGGCCAUCUCUCCG
RNAcentral lists this transfer RNA (74 nucleotides) under Chimonanthus praecox. Its description in RNAcentral is "partial tRNA-Ser". The record is from RNAcentral. Lineage: Eukaryota; Viridiplantae; Streptophyta; Magnoliopsida; Laurales; Calycanthaceae.